This 461-nucleotide ribosomal RNA is filed under the name uncultured bacterium. RNAcentral describes it as "partial 16S ribosomal RNA". It matches the Rfam family "Bacterial small subunit ribosomal RNA", at positions 28 to 523 of the family's 1533-position model. The record is from RNAcentral.
GAUGAACGCUGGCGGCGUGCCUAAUACAUGCAAGUCGUACGGCAGCAUGCCCUUCGGGGUGAUGGCGAGCGGCGGACGGCUGAGUAACGCGUGGGAACGUGCCCCAAAGUGAGGGAUAACUGCUCGAAAGAGUAGCUAAUACCGCAUAUGGUCUUCGGAUUAAAGCUUCGGCGCUUUGGGAGCGGCCCGCGUCUGAUUAGAUAGUUGGUAGGGUAAUGGCCUACCAAGUCGACGAUCAGUAGCUGGUCUGAGAGGAUGAUCAGCCAGACUGGAACUGAGACACGGUCCAGACUCCUACGGGAGGCAGCAGUAAGGAAUCUUCCACAAUGGGGGCAACCCUGAUGGAGCAACGCCGCGUGAAGGAUGAAGGCCUUAGGGUUGUAAACUUCUUUUGUUAGCGAAGAAUAUAACGGUAACUAACGAAUAAGGGUCGGCUAACUACGUGCCAGCCGCCGCAGUAA